RNAcentral lists this long non-coding RNA (1648 nucleotides) under Homo sapiens (human). RNAcentral describes it as "long intergenic non-protein coding RNA 847". Lineage: Eukaryota; Metazoa; Chordata; Mammalia; Primates; Hominidae. The record is from RNAcentral.
GCCCUCCUCCCCUUCGUGCGCCGGCUGGAGCGAAGAGUUCUUUUGACAGCCGUGAGCUUCCCCGCCAGGAACUUACUGGGGCUGCAUCACCCUAGAAACGUGGCUUUGGGCUGUGGAAACGCUGCCUCUGUGGAAGUCUCUCCUCGCGGGGGUGGACGGGUCGCUGCGCGCCCAGCGUUCUUCUGCGGUUCUCACAGCCCGCCGCCGCCGCCGCCUCGGGGACCUUUGCGGGGAGGCCUCAGGGCACCUUCCUCCUCUCUCUCAGGCACGUCCUCGACCUCAGUUGCCACGUGCACAUGCUGGUGCCUUCCAGGCUGGAGUAUAGUGGCAUGAUCAUAGAUCACUGCAGCCUCAAACUCCUGGGCUCAAGCGAUCCUCCCACCUCAGCCUCCAUAUAGCUGGUGGGGACCAAGUUUCUAACACAUGAAUGUUGGGAGACACAUUCAGACCAUCGCAGUGGCCUUAUAAAAAGAGACACAAGAGCUUGCUCUCUGCCAUGUGAGAAUACCACAAGAAGACUGUCCUCAGCAAAUCAGAAAGCGGGUGGACCCUCAUCAGACACCAGAUGUGCCUGCACCUUGAUCUUGGACUUGCCAGCCUUCAGAACAGUAAGAAAGAAAUGUGUGUUGUUUAAGCCACCCAGUCUAUGGUAACUUGCUAUAGCAGCCCACUAGGAGACCCCAAGAUAUUUAAAAACUCAUCAGCACCUGCUUUCUGCAUCUGGACCCUGAUCUUCUGGUGGGUUUACCAGUUACUUGUAGAGUGUCCCUGUGAUAGUUUUAGGUGUCAACUUGACAGGAUUGAGGGAUGCCUAGAUGGCUGGGGAAGCACUGUUUCUGAGAAGGACCAUGUUUUUGGAGGAGACUGUUUUAUGAGUGAAUUUCAGGGGACACAUUCAGAUCAUGGCAGUGGCAUUAUAAAGAGAGACACAAAAGCUUGCUCUCUCUCUCUGCCAUGUAAGACUACCACACAAAGACUGCCAUCUGCAAACCAGAAGCAGGUGGGCUUUCCUCAGACACCAGAUCUGCCUGCACCUUGAUCUUGGACUUGCCAGCCUUCAGAACUCUAAGAAAGAAAUGGUAGCAUGGCUUGGUCUAAGUUGGAAGGCCUGAGAAACAAGCACAUGGUGGAACUGAGUUCAAGGAUAAAGACUUGAGAAUACCUGCUCAGUGGACUGAGUAGGGAAGAUCAACCCUCAAUGUAGGCAGGCACUAUCCAAUCACCUGAGGGCCCAGAUGGAACAAAAAGGUGGAAGAAGGGUGAAUUCUCUCUUCCAGAGCUGUGACACCCUUCUCAUGCCCUUGUACCACACAACUCUAGGUCCUUUGGCCUUUGGACUCUGACACUUGCACCAGUGGCCCUCUGGGGCUCUCAAGCCUUUAGCCUUGAACUUAGUUACACCAUGUGCCUCCUUGUUUCUCAGGCCUUCCAACUUGGAUCAGGCCAUGCCACCGGCUUCUCUGAUUCUCCAGCUUGCAGAUGGUAUAUUGUGACCCUGGCAUUUAAUAACUAUGACUUUGGUCUUAAGCAAUUUUCUUCCUCUGUGGAUUGAUAUUUACAUAUCAAUGUGGAUAAUAAUUUCUUACCACGGUAACUGUUGUGAGGUAAAAAUGAGUUAACAUAAGUAAAACCGAGCACAUGCAAACCA